GAUUAAUACUCCAUAAAGUCAUAAUUUCGCAUGUUAUUAUGAUUAAAGCUCCGGCGGUUAGAGAUGAGCAUGCGUGUCAUUAGCUUGUUGGUGAGGUAACAGCUCACCAAGGCAACGAUGACUAGGGGUUCUGAGAGGAUGAUCCCCCACACUGGUACUGAGACACGGACCAGACUCGCGACGGGAGGCAGCAGUGAGGAAUAUUGGGCAAUGGGCGAAAGCCUGACCCAUCCAUGCCGCGUGCAGGAUGACUGCCCUAUGGGUUGUAAACUGCCUUUAUACGGGAAGAAUGGUUCCUACGUGUAGGGGUUUGACGGUACCGUAAGAACAAGCAUCGGCUAACUCCGUGCCAGCAGCCGCGGUAAUACGGAGGAUGCAAGCGUUAUCCGGAUUCAUUGGGUUUAAAGGGUGCGCAGGCGGAAUAUUAAGUCAGUGGUGAAAUCCUGCAGCUUAACUGUAGAACUGCCAUUGAUACUGAUAUUCUUGAAUGUAGUUGAGGUGGGCGGAAUGUGUAAUGUAGCGGUGAAAUGCUUAGAUAUAACACAGAACACCGAUUGCGAAGGCAGCUCACUAAACUAACAUUGACGCUGAGGCACGAAAGCCUGGGGAGCGAACAGGAUUAGAUACCCUGGUAGUCCACGCUGUAAACUAUGAUCACUCGCUGUUGGCAAUACAUCGUCAGCGGCUGAGCGAAAGCAUUAAGUGAUCCACCUGGGGAUUACGAUCGCAAGAUUGAAACUCAAAGGAAUUGACGGGGGCCCGCACAAGCGGAGGAACAUGUGGUUUAAUUCGAUGAUACGCGAGGAACCUUACCUGGGCUUAAAUGCAGAUCGACGUUCCGGGAAACCGGAAUUCCUUCGGGCGAACUGCAAGGUGCUGCAUGGCUGUCGUCAGCUCGUGCCGUGAGGUGUCGGGUUAAGUCCCAUAACGAGCGCAACCCUUAUCGUUAGUUGCCAGCGGGUAAUGCCGGGGACUCUAACGAAACUGCCGGUGUACCCCGUGAGGAAGGUGGGGAUGACGUCAAGUCAGCACGGCCCUUAUGUCCAGGGCUACACACGUGUUACAAUGGUCGGUACAAAGGGCAGCUACCAGGCAACUGGAUGCUAAUCUCGAAAACCGAUCUCAGUUCGGAUUGAAGUCUGCAACUCGACUUCAUGAAGCUGGAUUCGCUAGUAAUCG
This 1179-nucleotide ribosomal RNA is filed under the name uncultured organism. RNAcentral describes it as "bacterial SSU rRNA". It matches the Rfam family "Bacterial small subunit ribosomal RNA", at positions 161 to 1344 of the family's 1533-position model. The record is from RNAcentral.